Molecule: long non-coding RNA, 7898 nt
Filed under: Apis mellifera (honey bee)
Lineage: Eukaryota; Metazoa; Arthropoda; Insecta; Hymenoptera; Apidae
Description: uncharacterized LOC102655337, transcript variant X1
Source: RNAcentral
UUCAUAAUUAUUUUUUUAGCUGGAAAAUUACUUCGAACUUUUUUCAACAGAAUUAUGGAAUAUUUGAAUAUAUAAGAAAGAAGAUUUAUUUAUUUUUUGGACAUGAAUUGAAAUAAUGGAGGAAAAAUAGAUUGAAGGACGUAUUUUUUUAUUCAUAAGAAAUAUCGAUAUAAUUUGUAACUCGUGUCACGAUCAAUGAAGAUGUGACAUAAUAACGGAAUGAUCAGAAUCAAACGUAUUCACAUCUUUUUAUUUGUUCUCACUACUUCUGGAAUUUUAUGACAUUGCUUUCGGAUAGAUAUGAACAGGUGUAAACGUUUGAAGUGCAUUAGAGCAUUUAGAAAUCCAUUAAACUAAUAUGUCAUGAAAAAAGAUUUAAAUUCAAAUUCAAUUAGCAAACACGAAGGUAACAUCGUUUCUGUUUAUUUAUAAAUUUUCUUUACGUUGAAUCAUGUUCAAAAUCGUUGUAUAAAAUUGCAACGACAUUGGAAAUAUCGGUGUUAAAUAUUUCAGAGAUUACAUUACUCUCGCAGAGAACGAGGGAAACGGAAGAAAGGAAGCAGAUUAUCGACACGAUAUUUACCAGUUGGCAAAUGAAAGAAUAAGCAUUCUAUUUUUAAUGUGAAGCCACUGUUGGUAGACAGAUUUUGUGGGAUCUAUGGCACGCGUCCGAUGUUCAUUAACCGCCAUUGGACCGAGAAAGAAAGAAAGGGAAGGGAAAAGAACGUGUGUCAUUUAGUAUGCGGCAUCUUUUAACCAUCUCAUAGAUGGGGAAACGGAAAAAGCGCAAAAAUGUUAGACGCGAUUCAUCGAGACACGCGUCACUUUUGCUUCAGAGAUGAGUGAAAUUUCCUCGAACUUGAUGUCACAGACACAUUUUAAGAGGCGAAAUCAUGGAAAUUAUAGGAACGAUAAAUAUACAUUUAAAAAAAAAAAUAAUGAAUUUUUUUUAUGAAAUGAUAAAAAAAGUGUAAGGACAAAUUAAAAUUUUUAAAUUAAUUCCCCUUAGAUAGAAAGUUAUUACACAUAUUUUUUCCUAUGGAAUUCCAUUAAAAAUAAACGUUAUAUUUCUAUGAGAUCAUAUAUUUACGACCCUCUGUAGUAUUUUAUUAAUACCAAGUCGUUAUUAAUAAAAUGACAUAUUUAUUUUAGUCACAUAUUAUCGAUUAUAACAUCCCCACGAUUAUUUAAUAAUAUCACCUACAAACAAUAUUUCUCAAAAGAGUUUUAUUACCUUUUUUUUCUUGCUACUAAUUGAACAAUGAACUACGUAAUGAAGGAUGAAACGUUGUACCUUUAUCGAAAUGGAUUUUUAUUCGAUUUCCAGGGGGUUUUAAAGGGGAGGGGAAAAAUGAAAAGCGAGGUUUUUCCUCGCAAGUAUAGGGAGAGCGAUGUCGUUGGUGCAAACAGAGACUAUGCAGUGAGAGACUAUGCAAGCAACGGACUUUUUGGUCGGCGAUUGAAUGAAUGCCACGCGAGUUAGUCAGCGUCGCGGUGCUAAAUUCGGCGGACGCCUGGCGUCGCUCCAGAAGAACCACCCAGCGCACCAACCUGCUUCUAUCCUGCAAGCCACCAAUGAAACUGCGAGAUUCGACGCCGUUUUCUUAUUUGCUUGCCACCUUCUUUCGUCCCGCAUCGAUGUUUCACGAUGCCUCUCUUAUGUUCCUCACGAAAAUACGAUGCCGAGAGUGUUAAGCUCCGUUUAUCGACGCUCAUAAAUCUUUUGCACCAACGGAAUAACCAUUCCGAUUUGAGUAUUAUAGUUUAAUGUUUCUUAUUUGAGAAAAUUAUCGAUGAACAUUAACAAAUGUAAUGAUUCGAAGAACAGGUGUCUCGGGAACGCUAUUGCAAUCGCGGUACUAUCGACGUUGGACCUAAAAAUAAAGUCACGAGUGUCGAGCAGCAUCUCGAUUGACGCAACUAUGAAACUUGCCAACCUUUUCCCAGCGAUGGAUUGUCAGUAUCCUAGGCUUCUGUGUGUGUGUCAUCGGAUACGCGUAAACAGUAAUUUACUUCUACAUUAAUAAACCGACGGAUAGAUGGGACGCAUCCUACAGGUGCCUGAACGCGGUUUCGAUGGAACGUGUCGCGUAAAACGUAUGUAUUUUCGGCGUACUUGGAGAAGCUCCAGGUGCGGAGGAGGAAGUACGUGUAAACCGAGGGAAACAGAGAGGCUGGAUGGAGAGUGGCGAGACCACGUGCGUUGCCAUUUUUCGCAAAAAUUAAGCUUUAAAUCGUAAAUAAUCUAACGUUUCAUCAUAUUUUUCUCAGUUUCUUCUUCAAUAAUUUCUCAAUGGUCCUCUUUUUCGUCUUGUCGAAGAAGAGGAAAAUCUUCCUUGGAAAUUCGAGAAAGGAAAGAUUUUUUUUUUUUCUUCCUCGAUAAGGAAGACAGAAGAGUCAUUAAUCCUAUUUCGUAGAAUUAUUUUGUAAAAAAAAAAAAAAGAAAAAAAAAGUAAAUGUAUCGAAAAUUAUCCGGAAACGCUUGGUACCUCUUAUAAAUCAGGAUCGGUGCACUCCCUCUUUCCACGAUCAUGCCGUUUAGCGAGAAGUUUUCUGGCGGGGAAAAAAGGGAAAAGCACGCGAUUGCUAUUUAAAAGGCUCGUAGGUGGGUGGCUUUUUAGCCGAGGUAUAUACCGACGUAGGGAGAGGGCUUCGACUUCGCUCUUCGGCCUCGGUAUGGGGUUGCCGUGCUAUUUUCAGGCCGGUGGCUCGAUGCAGCUGUCGUGUUCUUCGGGUAAACCACCUCUCUUCUAUUCCAUGGUCACUCGCGGGACAAGGUAGAAUGUACAGAUUGGAAUUCUAAAUUCACGAUUCGCAAAUUCGUAAAGGAUGACGCACUUUCGCCAACACUCACCGAAAUUAGACGAUCGUAAUAAAAGAAACAUUAGGAUCAUUAUUAGAAUUUCGAAGCCUUUCACCUAUUCUUGAAAUCUAUUUCUUUUUUAUCUAUUCUUCUUUUCUAUAAUCAUCUUUAUUCAUUCGUUGUUUUUCUCUUUUCGAUAUUUCUGAUAUUUUCCAUUCUUUAUAUAAGUAACUUCUCUCUUGCAGGUUCUAGAAUGCGCAUUUUAAGUAUUAAUCAUAAUCUCUUUUAAUUUUUGUCGAAGAAGAAUUUUCUUCAAAUAACAAACGAAUGUAUUAUAUUUUUGUAGGGAAUAAAAAAAAAAGAAGAAAACGAUAAGAAAGAUAGAAUAGUAGAACUAUUUAAGUGAUUGCCUCCAGCAAAGCUACGAAAAGAAGAAGUGCGUGCUGGAGAAUGGAAGACAUGGAUGAAGAAGAUGACAAGAUUCGAAGAUCUUGGCAACGAGCCAGAAGAGAUUUUCAGUCGUCUACGUAUUUCCAACUUUCAUCUUCUAGCCGUCCUCUAGAACCUAGGGUGCAAUGACACCAGGUUUUAGAUGACAAUUUUCUAUUUACAGCACAAUAGAGAAAAUACAGAAAAAAAAAAAGAAAAAAAAGGAAAGAAAAAAGUAUUAGAAGAUUAAAAAAUAUCGACCGGAACGACCCUUAAUUUAGUUUCGGGUGCAAGAGGUUAACAGAGAGUGGGGGAUGUCAGUGGAAGUGCUUCUACGAAGGGAGAACACCGUCGUACGAAGCACGUUGGUUCAUGUUUGGAGGAAUGUCUUUGGGUAUAAAGGAGACAGUUCCUUCCGGAGACAGCGAACAGCCGCCUGUUUUACCCUUCUUGUCCCUCCCAUUUGUUCCCUUUCUGUAUAUCGUAUUUUUUUGCGAUUCAUCAUAUUCUUUACCACUUGUUUUUCUGUUAAUAUUAAAUAAUAAGAAGAUACUUUUAUUCAGAAUUUUUUUUUUUAAACAAAAACUUGUUUAUCUUGUUAUAAAUUUCAUUAAUAAAAAUCAUUAGAUUGCUAUUAUAAAAAUUCUUUCAAAUAUACAUUAUUUUGUAUCUUAUUAUUAUAAAUACAUGGAAGAAAUUAAGUGGUAAUUUAAUAAUUAGGAUUAUUAUCUAAAGAUUACAAUGCAUUUACAGUAAAAUUUCUACGGGAAUAAGCAAGUGUUGUAAUUCGGAGAUUAAUUGCACAUCGAUCAAAUUGUAGAACUAACCGGUUCGCAGGUGGCAAACAAGCAUGCAAAUCUAAAAAAGGGUUACGCACACGAGCACGUGCUCGCAUUUUGCAAAACCUUUUCAAAGCGAUCAGCUGGCUGUGCUCUUUCUUCCUUCCACCUCCCCGCUCUUAUCUUUUCCUACGGCAAGAAAAAAGAAUUAAAAUGGAUAAAAAUGAACGUGCACCCCCCUUCGUCCGCACCCGCAUCCUGUGCCAGUAUAGUGCUGCUUUCGUAAAAACCGGCCCGUCGGUUUUCAUUCAAAAUGUGCGAGUCACGAGGGCUCAUUCACAAAUUUCACGACGAAAUUCUACACUCAGCCGGACCGUCUGCGAUCUUGAUCGAGACAACAGAGACGAACGCAUAAGAGCGAAAAAAAAUCGGCGGUUCAUAAUGACGUACACGCUGCAUUUAAAUUGUUGUAACCGUAGUUUCUUCCAUUGGCUCGCGUACAGACCACGUGCCACACGUGAUCCUCCCUAGUUGAUUCCCUUUCUUCUAUUGCCAUCGUCCAGACAUCUUUAAAGAGGAGAUGAAAAAAAUUAAGGGGACGGAAGAAGAGGAAGUGGACUAGACGAUGAGGGAGCUGAGAUCGUAGCAUUAAACAGUACGCUGGUGGAUUCAUGGAAUUUCGUGAAACCCCGUUGCGUUUUUUAAAUAGAAAGAAGAAAGAUGAAAAAAGGAAAGAAAAAAUAUGUACCUGUGUUAUAACCUGUGUUCAUAUUGUAAUGAGAUUAUUGAUAUGUUGAUAUUUUUAAAAGCCUAGUGAUUACCCACACAAAUAUUCGUUCAUGGAAAAGCUGUAGGAGGGGUUAAAGGACAGGAGGGUCGCAGACACCGAGUCACCAGCGGCAACGGGCACGCGACCGACACGCGCCCUUCUUCCGUCUCUUUUCUUCCCAUCUUCCCCUUUUUCUACGCUUCUUUUUCCACAGCAGCUUCCCUUUGCCCGCACAUGUAUUCAUCUCUUAUACGUGAUCAUCUUGAGUUUACGUGCGCGUAUGGGAUGAAAGACUGGUGGUCUGCCACAUGAUUUAAGAUAGCAUAAUUUAGAAAUUAGUCAAGAAAUGUUAAUUAUUUCUGAUGUAUAAGAUAAUCAUAAAUAUAAUCACAAGAGGUCCAUUGAAGAAUCCAGGCACAAGAAGAUUGUACAUGAAUGCACGUACAACGACUUUAUCUUGACUACAACCUUAUCUUUAAGUAGUUUGAUACCGAUGAAUGUCUACUACGGGGUAACAUUAGAAAUCGCUUACUGAAAGAGCUUUGCUUUAAUGAAAUAAUAAAGAUCGUUUAAGGAAAUUUAAUCGAGCUAUAUUGAAUUUGUUUAAGAAUUAUAUUAUAUGUCAAUUCCGAAAAAAUAAUUAAGGUCGAUGAAGACGAAAAUGCAAUCUGUCGUCGCAACGAGGGAAAUCGGACAUCUCUAAGUAUAGCUCGUAUUUGCAUGCAGAUCAGGGACGGAUCGUAUUAGGUUGCCAAGCUAUUACAACGUUCAAUCUAUAAAGUUUGUAAUACUAAAAUUUUUAAUCUAUUUUUUUUCAUCUUAUUAUAACAUUUUUAUAAAUACUAGAAUAUCUUUGUUAUCAUGUUACAAUCUUUUCAUCAAUCUAAAAGCGUAAACAUAAAUAUUAUAUUUUGAAUAUUUUAUUAUGUUACAUAUAUAAGAAAAUUCAUUCAUGAUGUUUUAACAAUCGUUUAUAUGAACCAUUUCGACAACGAUUACGAACUUGGCAAUGUUUGGAAAGAAGUACCAUUACAUAUGUUACACAACUAAAUUCCUUCUUUGAACUUAGGGAUAUUAAUUUCAAAAUUUCUCAUUGAGAAAUAUUUUUUGCCAUAAUUAGAAAAUAUGUUACAUAGAUUUGUUAUGAGAAUGAGAUUCCUGUAUAAAAAUGAUCGUUUAUCGUCAUCGUACGAUGAUCGAAUGGAAUUUGCCAAUGAGGAAAAUGAGAAAGCUGUGCCAAGAACGUUUAAUGACACCUUUAUAUAAGACACUUCUUAAUGCUAGUAAAAUGUUGGUGAUACCUUUUGUUUGUAAACAUACAAUAAUUUGUAAUAAAAAGGAAAAAUCAUACAUUGUAAAGGAACAAGAUGAACAAAAAUUAAUUGAUAAAAGUGACAAAUAUUUUUGUCAUAUUAAUAAAAUAAAAAAAAAAUAAUAUAAAAUAAUGGUGUCAAAUAAUUAUAAUAAAAGAAGAUGAAUUAUAUGUAUAUAUACUUAAUAAUAUUUUAAAUCAGCUUGAAUUCAUAAAAUUGAAACUUUGACUAUUUUGCAAACUUCUGGCCGAUCACCAAUGAUUAACCAUUUAUAAUUACGAGGAUGCCAUAUCUUGGCACGUGACACGGCAUUUAUAGAUCGCGACUCAAUUUAAUCGUCGUCGUUUCGAUUAUUUUUCUAACUACCUGUCAUCAGAAGUGUGGAUCCGUGGAUCCAGUCGAUGCCAAUGAUCGAAAAAUAGAUCCAAGCGCAACCUGUUUGAAAUAGCUGGCGUGAAACCUGUAACGACUGCUGCGUGUGUGCCGUUAAUAUCAGUACGUUGAACGAUACUAGAUCGGUAUUAGAAUACCGACAAUUCAAAAGAUGAUAUUAAAUGACUAUUAUCUUUAACGAAUAUAUUUUAGAUUUUUUUAAAAUCUUUCAGGUUUUUUUAAACUAGCUUCUAUCAAUAAUUUUUUGCUGAAGAUUCUUCAGCUAUCAAAAAAGAAGGAAUUGAAUCGUGUCAAUUGGAAAACUUUCGACGGCGUUUCUAACCAGGUGAUAAACUGUGAUUCGCGGGGCAAAUGGAGAUUAUAUUCGAAGGUGUCUAAGCUAAAGGGAAGGAAAUCUAAUUAUAGAAGUCGUUGUACCGCGUGCUGAAAGUGGUGGAGGGUGUGAGUACGGGUGCACGAAUGAGAAUCGGUUGCAUUGGGCGGCCAUAAAAUGCAGGCUGCAUCCGCUUGGCGCAGAUGUACUUGGAACGGAGCUCCAGUACCACGACAAAACCAAAAGGAUCGUUUCGAGAUUCUAUACCCUAACUGAUAUCGAGGACAAUGAACUUGAAGUGUACGCGAUAGAAACAGAUUCCACGGAUUCUUAUUCGACUGAGGAUCGAUCGAAGGGAAGGAAUAUUAGAUAGUUCGUUACUCUAAACUAAAAAUCUAUCUUGAUCGCUUCCAGAUAUCUGGAAACUUUCGCUUCUACAUUCCUCCAUUAAUGCAGAAGGAUGUCAAAAUGUUUACCUGAUUUUUCGUUGUUGAAUAUGAGAGAUCAAAAGCUGCAAAUAUUUAGAAAAAAAGGGAAGAUGAAACUAACCAUUUAUAUUAUGGAUACAAUAUACUUGUAAUACAUAGUUUCAUCAGAAGAACAUCAACAACUUGGGUGGUUCUCUUAUCACAAGUAGCACAACUUCAUUAUGGGUAUACUAUUCAUUCAUGAACGAGAGAAGCCAUGUGGUUCAUUAAUCAAAAAAUACUUCCUGUUUCCAUGAUAAAAAAAAAUUGGAUGUCAUUGCAAAGACUGCUCUUUUAUGAAAUAUUAUAAAGCAACGAAAGCAACAAGUUUAUUUCCUCUUUUUUUUUAAAUAACUAUAUAAUAUAUAAAAUAUAUAAAAGUAUAUGAAUUUAUUGGUCUGGAGCCAAUGAAAGCAGAUUCCAAUAACGAAAAGUAAUGUUACCUGUCAUUAUAAUUUGUAACCAAAUGAAAAUCAAACUACCUGUGUCACAGUUUUAUACCGAUUAACUGUGACUUACGGGUGACACGUUUAUCGUCAAUCUUACCCGUACGAAUGAUUGGUCAUUUGAGUGCACCAGCUGUGAUAUUUCGCGCACGAUCGGCUCGUGCCGUUUGGACCGUGAUUAUUAUU